This 252-nucleotide ribosomal RNA is filed under the name uncultured bacterium. RNAcentral describes it as "partial 16S ribosomal RNA". It matches the Rfam family "Bacterial small subunit ribosomal RNA", at positions 524 to 776 of the family's 1533-position model. The record is from RNAcentral.
UACGUAAGGACCGAGCGUUGUCCGGAAUCAUUGGGCGUAAAGGGUACGUAGGCGGUCUAGUAAGUUAGAAGUGAAAGGCCAUAGCUCAACUAUUGUAAGCUUUUAAAACUGCUAGACUUGAGAGAUGGAAGGGAAAGUGGAAUUCCUAGUGUAGCGGUGAAAUGCGCAGAGAUAUGGAGGAACACCAGUGGCGAAGGCGGCUCUCUGGUCCGCAACUGACGCUGAGGUGCGAAAGCGUGGGGAGCAAACAGG